UACAGAGGGUGCGAGCGUUAAUCGGAAUUACUGGGCGUAAAGCGUGCGUAGACGGUUUCGUAAGUCGGGUGUGAAAUCCCCGGGCUCAACCUGGGAAUUGCAUUCGAAACUGCGGGGCUAGGGUACGGAAGAGGGAAGCGGAAUUUCUGGUGUAGCGGUGAAAUGCGUAGAUAUCAGAAGGAACAUCAGUGGCGAAAGCGGCUUCCUGGUCCAGUACCGACGUUCAGGCACGAAAGCGUGGGGAGCAGACAGG
This 253-nucleotide ribosomal RNA is filed under the name uncultured bacterium. RNAcentral describes it as "partial 16S ribosomal RNA". It matches the Rfam family "Bacterial small subunit ribosomal RNA", at positions 524 to 776 of the family's 1533-position model. The record is from RNAcentral.